UACGUAGGGUGCAAGCGUUAAUCGGAAUUACUGGGCGUAAAGCGUGCGCAGGCGGUUUUGUAAGUCUGACGUGAAAGCCCCGGGCUUAACCUGGGAAUUGCGUUGGAGACUGCAAGGCUUGAAUCUGGCAGAGGGGGGUAGAAUUCCACGUGUAGCAGUGAAAUGCGUAGAUAUGCGGAGGAACACCGAUGGCGAAGGCAAUCCCCUGGGCCUGCACUGACGCUCAUGCACGAAAGCGUGGGGAGCAAACAGG
RNAcentral lists this ribosomal RNA (253 nucleotides) under uncultured bacterium. RNAcentral describes it as "partial 16S ribosomal RNA". It matches the Rfam family "Bacterial small subunit ribosomal RNA", at positions 524 to 776 of the family's 1533-position model. The record is from RNAcentral.